Choloepus didactylus (southern two-toed sloth) is the source of this 266-nucleotide long non-coding RNA. RefSeq lists it as uncharacterized. Lineage: Eukaryota; Metazoa; Chordata; Mammalia; Pilosa; Megalonychidae. The record is from RefSeq and is a predicted model, not a curated record. The transcript is spliced from 3 exons.
CUCAGAUUCUGUGCCACACAUGCAGUCGGCACGCACUCAGAGCUUCCCCACCAGUCCUGUGGCUACAGAUGCUGCCUUAGACCAUCUGAGGCAUGGAGGCUGUCUGGUUGGAAGAUCAGGAAACGUGGCUCAUGCUGGGACCGAAAAGAAUCAUCUACACUUUCUCACCCUUCUGGAAGUGCCUUGAGAGCAGGCCCCAGAAUUGGCAGCAGAGUGGCACAUCAGUGUUCUUGAAGGCAGAUCUGAGCAUAGCCAUGGCUCUGAGU